Molecule: ribosomal RNA, 433 nt
Filed under: uncultured bacterium
Lineage: Bacteria
Description: partial 16S ribosomal RNA
Rfam family: Bacterial small subunit ribosomal RNA
Source: RNAcentral
GGGGGGGGGGGGGGGGGGGGGGGGCGCGGGCGGGGCGGGCGGGGCCUGCGGGUGUGGGGGCGCACGGGGGCGUAACGCGUGGGCGCCUGCCCUUAGGUUCGGAAUCACUCCCCGAAAGGGGUGCUAAUACCGGAUAAUGUCUUCGGACCAAAGAUUUCUCGCCUUUGGAUGGGCCCGCGUUGGAUUAGCUAGUUGGUAGGGUAAAAGCCUACCAAGGCGACGAUCCAUAGCUGGUCUGAGAGGAUGAUCAGCCACACUGGGACUGAGACACGGCCCAGACUCCUACGGGAGGCAGCAGUGGGGAAUAUUGGACAAUGGGCGAAAGCCUGAUCCAGCAAUGCCGCGUGAGUGAUGAAGGCCUUAGGGUUGUAAAGCUCUUUUACCCGGGAUGAUAAUGACAGUACCGGGAGAAUAAGCUCCGGCUAACUCCGUG